This 1375-nucleotide ribosomal RNA is filed under the name uncultured bacterium. RNAcentral describes it as "16S ribosomal RNA". It matches the Rfam family "Bacterial small subunit ribosomal RNA", at positions 30 to 1393 of the family's 1533-position model. The record is from RNAcentral.
UGAACGCUGGCGGCAGGCCUAACACAUGCAAGUCGAACGGUAACAGGAAGCAGCUUGCUGCUUCGCUGACGAGUGGCGGACGGGUGAGUAAUGUCUGGGAAACUGCCUGAUGGAGGGGGAUAACUACUGGAAACGGUAGCUAAUACCGCAUAACGUCGCAAGACCAAAGAGGGGGACCUUCGGGCCUCUUGCCAUCGGAUGUGCCCAGAUGGGAUUAGCUAGUAGGUGGGGUAACGGCUCACCUAGGCGACGAUCCCUAGCUGGUCUGAGAGGAUGACCAGCCACACUGGAACUGAGACACGGUCCAGACUCCUACGGGAGGCAGCAGUGGGGAAUAUUGCACAAUGGGCGCAAGCCUGAUGCAGCCAUGCCGCGUGUAUGAAGAAGGCCUUCGGGUUGUAAAGUACUUUCAGCGGGGAGGAAGGUGUUGAGGUUAAUAACCUCAGCAAUUGACGUUACCCGCAGAAGAAGCACCGGCUAACUCCGUGCCAGCAGCCGCGGUAAUACGGAGGGUGCAAGCGUUAAUCGGAAUUACUGGGCGUAAAGCGCACGCAGGCGGUCUGUCAAGUCGGAUGUGAAAUCCCCGGGCUCAACCUGGGAACUGCAUUCGAAACUGGCAGGCUAGAGUCUUGUAGAGGGGGGUAGAAUUCCGGGUGUAGCGGUGAAAUGCGUAGAGAUCUGGAGGAAUACCGGUGGCGAAGGCGGCCCCCUGGACAAAGACUGACGCUCAGGUGCGAAAGCGUGGGGAGCAAACAGGAUUUAGAUACCCUGGUAGUCCACGCCCGUAAACGAUGUCGACUUGGAGGUUGUGCCCUUGAGGCGUGGCUUCCGGAGCUAACGCGUUAAGUCGACCGCCUGGGGAGUACGGCCGCAAGGUUAAAACUCAAAUGAAUUGACGGGGGCCCGCACAAGCGGUGGAGCAUGUGGUUUAAUUCGAUGCAACGCGAAGAACCUUACCUACUCUUGACAUCCAGAGAACUUUCCAGAGAUGGAUUGGUGCCUUCGGGAACUCUGAGACAGGUGCUGCAUGGCUGUCGUCAGCUCGUGUUGUGAAAUGUUGGGUUAAGUCCCGCAACGAGCGCAACCCUUAUCCUUUGUUGCCAGCGGUUAGGCCGGGAACUCAAAGGAGACUGCCAGUGAUAAACUGGAGGAAGGUGGGGAUGACGUCAAGUCAUCAUGGCCCUUACGAGUAGGGCUACACACGUGCUACAAUGGCGCAUACAAAGAGAAGCGACCUCGCGAGAGCAAGCGGACCUCAUAAAGUGCGUCGUAGUCCGGAUUGGAGUCUGCAACUCGACUCCAUGAAGUCGGAAUCGCUAGUAAUCGUGGAUCAGAAUGCCACGGUGAAUACGUUCCCGGGCCUUGUACUCACCGC